This 27-nucleotide small RNA is filed under the name Bombyx mori (domestic silkworm). RNAcentral describes it as "ovarian small RNA-17366". The record is from RNAcentral. Lineage: Eukaryota; Metazoa; Arthropoda; Insecta; Lepidoptera; Bombycidae.
GGCAAUAUCAAUCACUGUGCCAGAGCU